UCAGGAUGAACGCUAGCUACAGGACUUAACACAUGCAAGUCGAGGGGAAACGAUAGAGAAAGCUUGCUUUUUCUAGGCGUCGACCGGCGCACGGGUGAGUAACGCGUAUCCAACCUGCCCAUCACUUGGGGAUAACCUUGCGAAAGUAAGACUAGUACCCAAUGACGUCUCUAGAAGACAUCUGAAGGAGAUUAAAGAUUUAUCGGGUGAUGGAUGGGGAUGCGUCUGAUUAGCUUGUUGGCGGGGUAACGGCCCACCAAGGCGACGAUGGAUAGGGGUUCUGAGAGGAAGGUCCCCCACAUUGGUACUGAGACACGGACCAAACUCCUACGGGAGGCAGCAGUGAGGAAUAUUGGGUCAAUGGCCGAGAGGCUGAACCAGCCAAGUCGCGUGAAGGAAGAAGGAUCUAUGGUUUGUAAACUUCUUUUAUAGGGGAAUAAAGUGGAGGACGUGUCCUUUUUUGUAUGUACCCUAUGAAUAAGCAUCGGCUAACUCCGUG
This 499-nucleotide ribosomal RNA is filed under the name uncultured bacterium. Its description in RNAcentral is "bacterial SSU rRNA". It matches the Rfam family "Bacterial small subunit ribosomal RNA", at positions 24 to 507 of the family's 1533-position model. The record is from RNAcentral.